This is an RNA transcript of Fukomys damarensis (Damara mole-rat), 4596 nucleotides long. RefSeq lists it as uncharacterized. The transcript has 2 exons. The record is from RefSeq and is a predicted model, not a curated record. NCBI's taxonomy places the organism in Eukaryota, Metazoa, Chordata, Mammalia, Rodentia, Bathyergidae.
CCUGGGCCUGAGCAUGUGAUCCCCCUGCCUCAGCCUCCUGGAGUGCUGGGAUUACAGGUGUGUAGCAUUCACACUUAGAAGGCACAACUCAGUGGCUUGGAGUAACAGGAUUGUACAGCCAUCAUCAGUACAUUUAGAAUGUUUUCAUCACCUCAAAAAGAAGCCCCCUGCUCUGUAGUGAUCUACCUGCCCACCCCACUCCUCCAUCAUCCCCCACCCUGAGCAACCACUGAUCUACUUCCUGUCUCUGUGAACUUGCUUUUUCUGAACACUUUCUAUCAGUGGGAUCGAUCAGCCUUGGGUCCUUUGGGUCCAGCUCCUUGCUUACGGCCUUGGGUCCUUUGGGUCCAGCUCCUUGCUUACGGUGUGAUAUUCCCAAGAUCCAGCCAUGCUGUAGCAUGUAGGAGGGUUUCGUUCUUUUCAUCAAGCUGAGCAUCGGCCCGAUACAUGGAUGGACAGAUCAUAUUUUGUUUAUCCACUUGGCAACUGAUAGAUAUCUGGGUUGUUUCCACUCUGGGGUUAUUAUGAAUAACGCAGCUGAGUAUUCAUGUAUGUUCUAGUGCAGACAUAUAUUUCUUUUGGGCAUAUAGCUCAGAAUGGACAUGCUGGGUCAUGCAACAGUUCCAUGUUGAACAUUUGGUGGAACCACUUCUUUCAACUUUGUAUUUGGGAAAUUUCCUUCCAUUCUUGAGAGUGGAGAAAUUUUGGUAAUAACGCAUCAGCUACUCAUUGUCCAGAUUGGACAACGAUCAUCACCUUUCUGCUUAUCUUGUUCUCUCUACCUUCUCUCCCUUUGUCUCCCACCGAGUAUCUUAAGCCAGUUCAAGCACUGCUUUUCAUGUUGUCUCAGCUGAGAGGCCAACAUUUUCUUUUAUCCCAGACCUUCAGUUGGAGUAGCCUACAGCCAGCCACCUUCUUGCAGGGGAAUGGAGGAGUUGGUCAGACUCCAGAGUGCUCACUGUGCGUGAGGGGAGCAGCCCCUGAGUGAGGCGGGACUAGCUAUAUAAUUUGCAGAAUCUGGGUGAAAUGAACACAUGGAACUCUGUUAAAAAAAUGAAGAAGUUGGGGCCAGGGAUUUAGCUCAGUGGUGCCACCACCUGCCUCGUAAGCACAAGCACCUGAGUUCGAUCCCUGGUACCAAAAAAAAAAAAAAUUAAAUUUGAGAUGGCAGAGCAUUAAAUCAAGCAGGGGCUUUAUAUAGGUAUAGCUUCUCUGUCCAUGAGGUCAGCUCUGCCCCACAGCCAGCAAAAAGGUGCCCAAGCAGAACUGAUUCAGCAGACGCAGGAAUUUAGAACCUUGGGUACUGGGACAGACAUAAACAUCCCUCACCCUCGAUCCCUGGAAAGGUCCCAAGGAAAGUUAGGAACACUAUGGCAUAUGAGGCAAGAUUUAAACCCAUUUCAUUUGAAUCUCCAAAAAUAAGAUGACCCCAGCUGACAUGGGGGCUAUAAGCACUUAGAGAAAUAGCCGUUUGUAGUAUUCCUUCUUUCCUGAGAGCUCACACUUGAUUUAUUUGGCCACUCCAUUUUGUGCUGGAUUCUGAGUACACUCUGACACCCCCGCAGAAGUUAGGGCUGCAGUCUUAGGAACAGAGACCCACUGGGUUCCCAACAGCCCAGAGCUGCAGGGGUCCAGGGUGGCCGUGGUGGACAUGGCAGCCAAGGGUGGCAACCAGUUCUUCCCAGCUCAGACACAGCUCCCACCACGUGUCUCAUGUUCUGUGUUUACCGAGGAGGCUCAGCCCAAGGAUUCAUAACCUUAGCUCCAGAAACCCCGUGUGUGUCAGGAUGACACCCAAGGGUGCGUGAUACCAAGUGCCUUGUCGCGAAGGUAUAUGGCACACAGCAAAAGCUGCGGUGGGGCUCAGUGAGGAGAGAGCCGGAAGGACGGUGUAGCUCUCCUGUCAGCCAAGGGGAGGUCACUCAUUCAUUCAGUCACCUGUUACCCACGGCACUUAAGGGCCUGUGGACUGGGCGAGAGUGAAACAGCCAUCAGCAGGGUAGACCUCCUCCACCACUCCACUGUCCCGACAAGCAGGGCUGGGGAUCGAAUCCAGCGCCUCACGUGUGCUACGAUGGCUCGGUCCCUGAGCUACAUCCUCAGCCCUUACCCAGAUUUACAAACAAUAUCGUAAGUGUGGAAAGAAGAGUAAUGCAAGAGAGAGUAAGAUAAGAAAUAAAGGGGUCCCUUUGCCAUUCUUCGUAGCUCUGACCUCACUUUCUAGGAAGUAACCACAGCCUUUGUACAUUUUGUAAGCCUGGUCAGAUUCAUGGGGUUUUGCUUGUUUACAAUGUUGAGAAGGGUCAGGGUGUCACAAUAUGUCCUGAAGACAGAACAGCUCCCAGACCCACCUCAUUUUUUUUAAUGAUGUCCAGCAUCGCAUCACGCCGACUUACCCUGGCCCCUCCUGGCUAACCUUUGCUUUUAACUCUAGGAUGUUGCCGUAGAUUAUAUCUGCACUGUGGCACGUGGCCAUGUAUACUCUGUAGGAUCAAUUCCUAGAAGUGGAAUUUCUCCGUCAGAGGAGAAGUGUAUUGUGAAUUUCUACAGGGAUUGCCCAGUGCCCUUCAAACAGACUGUACGAUUCACAAGCCCCUCAGCCUCAUGUGUACGUCAGGGUACCUGGUUCUGACACCCUUUGCAUCCCAGAAGGAUGCGGAUUCCCUGGUGAGGUAAGUGGACUUUCUAUGUGGGUCUGGGUGGGGGUGGCCAUGGCCUCCAGGGCCGUCCCUGUCACUUUCUGAAGAGAUGGGCCGGUUAGAGUGCUUGUUAGUUUGGGUUUUAUAAACAAAGGCAGGGUUGAGGAAGGUGAGCCAGAACUCUGCAGUGAAAAGCAUUGUGCAAGCCAGUAUUUAUUUCUUUAGCGCAGUUAGAACUUAAAUGUGGUCAAAACAUAUUCUUCUUUUUAAUUUACACAAACAAAUAUGUUCCCAGGCUGACACCUCUGAUGCCAAGUUUCUAGGGGAAACAAAAUUCAACUGUGUGAUUAUAAACCACUAGAGAGAAAGCAGGAAUGGAGAACCCGCCCAGAGUCCGCUUUCCCGUGCCCAGCACGGAGGGCUGAAGGUUCUCUUUCUGUCUCAAUUGUAGAGAUCUGCCAGAAAUUUUGGUGAAUGAAAUGUGGAUGGACCGCGUCAAGGCCAGAGGAUGCAAAAGGCCCCAGUUUUGAUUAAGAAAAAGAAAAAAGAGGCCAGCUUGGCUUGGCACCCUCCCUGCUGCCAGUCAGGAGACUGCAGAGCUGUUUCCAGAGAGCUGCUGAUGAACUGAGGGAAGAGCGACAGGACAGCGGGAGUCGGCUCUCAGGGCUGCGCGAGCACAAAACCAAACAACUUGAAACUCUUCCAAGGGAGGGGAUUAAGGCAACAUGUUAUUUUGAGUGAUUGCUUAAUUUAUUGAGCUGCGGCUAGAUCUGUAAGGAAAUACAGCCCUUGUAACUGAUCACCUCCUACUGCAAUCGGACCUUCUGCAAUGAAGGGAUGUUUUCCCGGAGUUUCUCCGGAAGCCUGGAAUUUGCAGCCUCUGGGUAGGGGUGCUUUUGGGCACUCAUGUUCCAGGUGAGCUUUUUCUUGGUUUGUUUUAAAGAGUGGCAGGUUGAUGUUAAUAAAGAAAAGGAGCAGCAUUUUGCAGAGUGCCGUGUGUACAGCAGGUGGUUUGUGUACAUUCUCUCUGAUCUCCAUUGCCCAGAGAAAUAACCUUCACUCUUCCGUUUUACAUGUGAAGCCGUGAGGCACGGCGGCAUUUUCUGAGUGUCAUCUGAGCCACCUGUGACUCUGCACCAAGUAGAUCAAGUUGAUUGUACCUGAAAAUGUACCCUUAGGGGUGCACGAGCCGUGGGUUCAAGUGCUACCCUGCCAGACUGUGGGACUAGUGGUUACUAUGUUGGUUGGUGCACCCAGAACUCAUUUCGAUGAUUAUCGAUCUGUUGCCCUGAGGUCGGUUCUACAGAUCCAGAGAUUUCAUGGCAAGAAAUGGGUAGCUCCAGAAUUAAAAGCCCUAGGUGAUGGGCCUUGGCAGUGAAGCCUGUCUGCCACUGCUUUAUUUCUUUCUCUUUCACCAGGCACCCUCAUCCCGGCUGCACAUUAGAGUUACCUGGAUCUUUGGGGGGGUGUUUUGUUUUGUUUGGGAUAAGGUCUCACUGAGUAGCUCAGGCUGGCCAUGAACUCAUGGUGAUCCUCCUGCCUCAGUCUUCCAAGUGCUGGGACUGCAGUCACGGAACGGUGUUACGGGAGAAGGUGUGGUCAUGGAGAUGAGGUGAAAGCCUGUAAGCUCCAAAUCAAUUAGCAGGAUCAGGAGGAACACAGGCGCUCUCUCACUUAAUACCAUGGAGCAUGGGGUCACAGGCUCUGUCCACUGAGGUUAGAGACCGCGACCAGUCACAGUGAGGACCCAGCACCAGGUUAGCAUCUCUCUCAGCAUUCAGGGCUCCCUGGGCAAAUGGCCAAUUCCAGAUCUGAGCCAAGAAAUGUUCCAGUGAGCCUGGGAUAUCUUUUUUUGUUUGCUUGGUUGGUUUUUCAGCCAGGGUCUUCCUUCCUUUGUAGUUCAGGCUGGCUUUAAACUGACUCUGCAGCCCAGGAUGGCCUCAAAUUCAUAGCAGUC